CAUGCGUGCAAUUUUGGUUGCGUUCCAUGCUAUGUAUAUACACGAAAUGUCGGUAACAGAGUUAUUGACUUUUCCUAAUAUGUGCGAGCGAGAACUGAGAAGGUAUAAGAGCGAACGAGACAUUCAAUAACGAGCUACACCAAGCUACACAGCCUACACAGUAAAAGGAGCAAGCGAAAGAUCAACAAGAACGAAUGGGAUAGUAAUAGAAGUGAGUGAGAUGAGAAUAACAACAUGCUGAAUACUCGAGAAUAUCGGAUUGCGCUUCGUUGACUGUCUUGCUCGCUAAUGUAAUGCAACCAUAUAUCUUGAGAUCGACCCCUGUAUCUAUUAUUUUUCUUAUUUUAACCUUUACAAGACCGGCAUAUUUUUGACUGACUUUUUUGUGCUAGACUAGAACUUGUGCUGUACGAGGAGGAUGGCUGGCAGCAAAAUUUGCUGCAAGAAGAUUCGGCGUACCGACCGCGCGGCGCGGCGUUAUUUUGGCGCGUGAAGUUAACCGCGCGACGCGGCGUCACUUUUGACACGUGAAGUUGACCGCGCGAGAGUGACGAAGCUGUUUCACUCCACCUUUUCGGGUAUCGGUGUUAGAACGUAACGGACGUAAGAUGGACCGGCUCCGGGAUAAUUAAGUGGCAUCGCGAAUCUCUUAAUUGCAUGAUCGCGGCAAAUCUGACAUGGACGCAUGGACCGAUGCACGGGGCAAGUGUCGCACUAUAUUUACCCAAACGCGACGAAUGCAGAAUGAACCGAUUCCAGAACGAGUGGGAUCGCGAAUCACUUGAUCGUGACAAUCCUGAGUUGGAUCGGUUCCGGGACGGAUGACAUCGCGAUAUUUAUUUGAACGUGACGAACACGAAAGAGAGUUGCUCCGAUGUAGAGCAAAUUAUUUUUUAAUAAUUUGUGUGGAAGAGGAAGAAGAAGAAAUAUGACAAUAUCAAAAUAGGAGAGGGAGGCCUAGGAGGGCAUCAGGCGUCGGUGGAGCAACUUUGUAAAUCAUCAUAGCUAUUAUACAUUGCUAAUAACUCCACUGUUGCGCAUCAGUCGGUAAGUGAUAAAAAUUUGUAUUACUAAGGUAACGGAUCUAUGAAAAAUGUAAUAAAUAUAUUGUAUCAACAUCAUUACGAUUAUAUUUCAAAUAACUACAAAACUUCAUGGGUUCGUUAUCUUAAAAUGAAUAAGCUUUGAAAAAUUAUGAAAAGUAUUUAAUAUUGGACUUAUAUUUCAUUAUCCAUUUUUUAAUUGUAAUUUAUAAUUAAAAUUCUAAUUAAUUUCUAUCUGUCUUUUUUAAUAAUUUCUAUCUCUCUAAUAACAUUACAAGUAUUGUUUAUUUGGGGAAAGCUUUAAAAAAAUUAUAAACAGAAAGAUUGAAAAAAUUCGGUUAUUUUCUGUUAUUUUCUGUGAAAUAAGACUAAUCACGAUGUGGAAUGGAACAAUUAUAUUAAUCUCGUCGCAUGCUGUAAGCACCGGCAGAUGUGUUGCUUCACAUGGAAAGUCGAAAAUCCAUAUAGUCAUUAAGUCAUUGUUCUGUUCCACAUAAGUUCUUAACACUACUUUUAAUAAAUUCUAUAUUUUCAAAAAAGAAUUUAUAUAAAUAAUAAUAAUAAUAAAAGAAAAUUAUUUUAUUUUGCGUAGACGAGUAUAAAUAUAAACGGAGGAGUUGCGCAUCUCCACCCCAAAAUUUUUUCUAGCCUAAUUUAAUCUAAUAUUAGUCGCGAUUUGGCCAUGGAUAUCAAAUUAAUCACGUUACAAUUUUAGAUUUGAAAAUGUGGCCAAAUUGCAACUAAAAUUAAAUUGGAUUAGAUUAGGAAAAAUUUUGUGAUAGAGAUACACAGAUGAAGCCUCUCUUCCAGCUAUAUUUAUACUUUUAUCUAUGCAAAAUAAAAUUAUUUUUUAAAAUCUUUUAUUAUUAUCUUUAACCCUCAGUUUUCACAUUAUCAAAAUUUACCAUUGUUACUGGACUAUUUUUUAGGUGUGCUAAAUUUACCGACCAAUUUUUAAUCGCUUAUAUCUCAGAGUUAAAUCAACCAAUUAGAACAUAUUUUUUAAAAAUAAAAGUUUAGAAUCUCACAAAAAUGAGUAUUUUAGCUAAAAUAUCAAAAAUUAAUUUGAUUUAGAAAUAUUUUGAAAAACGUCAAUAAACUUGUUGAAAAAUACGCUCGAGUGUGUCACACCCAGUCUAGGAAUUGAGGAUUUAUUUUAUUAUCUUUAUCUUUAUAACUUUUUUUAGAGCUUGCUCUAAGUAAAUAUUUGUUAUGUUAUUAGAAAAUUGAUAGAAAUUGCUAAAAAAAUUUACAGUCUAUUUGAAGGUAAAACUGUGAUUCGGAAUAAUUAUCAUAAAUUCUCACAAAUAUGAAAUAUUUGAAAAAUUAUGAUAAAUUUUCGCAAGCGAUAAUAUAACACAAAAUAAUAGAGACACGCGGAAACGUCACAUUAAUUAGAAGCAAACUGACAGGAAUUGAAAUAAAAUAACGCUCGAUUUAGGCAGAAUCGGUUUUAUAUCAAUAAGCUGACAAUAUACAGGAUGUUCAAAAUUUUUCAAAUUUAUUUAAGAUUCUUGAAGCUUUUGAAUAGCUUAAUAGACGGUUUUUCUCUCAAAUGUCCCUCCAUGACAUUUCAAAGAAAUCAUUUUAAAACUGAAGCGAAAAUACAUUAUGUA
Monomorium pharaonis (pharaoh ant) is the source of this 2659-nucleotide long non-coding RNA. RefSeq lists it as uncharacterized. NCBI's taxonomy places the organism in Eukaryota, Metazoa, Arthropoda, Insecta, Hymenoptera, Formicidae. The record is from RefSeq and is a predicted model, not a curated record. The transcript is spliced from 6 exons.